This is an RNA transcript of Empidonax traillii (willow flycatcher), 1227 nucleotides long. It is a transcript of the gene named cytochrome b-245 chaperone 1, with no coding region annotated. The transcript is spliced from 8 exons. NCBI's taxonomy places the organism in Eukaryota, Metazoa, Chordata, Aves, Passeriformes, Tyrannidae. The record is from RefSeq and is a predicted model, not a curated record.
CCGCACUCAAAAUGGCGGCGGGCGCGUCCGGCCCUCCCUGAGGCGGGAUCUGUGUGAGGGCGCGGGAGCCGCAGCGGCCGCGGGUCCCUCAGAGCGCGGCCGGAGCCGGGCAGUGAGGUUUCAUGAGUCACGCUGGGCUGCGGGGAGUUUCUUUGGAAGAUGUACAUGUCGGUUGAAAACCGCACGAGUUCCCACCUCCAUCUGAAGAGGUCACCCGGCAUCCGCUCCUGGUCCCUCUGUGUUGGAAUAGCCUCCAUAGGUUUGGCUGCUGCUUAUUACAGUGCAGACAGCUUGGCAUGGAAGCUCUUCUAUAUGGCUGGGUGUUUCUUUGUGGCAGCACAGAACCUGGAGCAGUGGGAGGAAGCUGUAUUUGAUAAGAACAAGGGAACAGUCUGCCUAAAAACAUUCAAUCUGUACAAAAAAAUACUGACCUUGUCCAAAGGAGGCCACGAACAAGUGGUGGCUCUGCUGAGCGAGAUCCGGGAUGUGAACGUGGAGGAGGAGGCCGUGCGCUACUUUGGGAAGGGUUACCUGGUGGUGCUGCGCUUUGUCACCGGAUUCUCCCACCCCCUGACCCAGAGUGCCGUGCUGGGCUGCAGAAGUGAUGUGGAAGCAGUUGCCAAACUCAUCACUAGUUUUCUGGAGCUGCACAGAGUAGAAAGCCCACAAGAUUUCUCUCAGAGCAGCGAAACAGAGGCGAGUGAUGCAGAUGAACCACAGGAUAAAUACUAAUAGUCAUCAUGAGCUGCAGCAAGUAGAGGCUUUCACACAUCUGGAAAACACUCUGCUUGUUCUGCAGAAAAAGAAAUCCCUCACAACCUCGGCCUGGGCAUUUCUCUACAAUUUGCAAUGGGAGGAAUGUGUCUUAAUGCACCUCAUUUAGUGCUAAACUGCUUCGAGAGCCACGGUCCAAGAGUUGCUGUUGUAGAGUCCAAAGCAAAUUCGGUUUCAGUUGCUCUUCUGCCUUAAUUCCUGCACGUGGACACUGCUGGCUUCUGAACUUUGUCAGUUCACCACUGACAAACUUGUCUAGGAAUAAUUAUUUAUUGAUGGAUCGGUAUGAAAUAAUUGCUUUCCCAUUAGUGAAGCGGAGGUGCAGAUGCAAAGAGCCUCUUACUGCAAACAUCUGCUGCAGACUGAAAAAAUCCAGCCCCAAAUGUGGAACAAACCCACUGCUCCUGCUGUGGAAGGACUGGUGAUGGAACAGCAGGACACAGCACAGCUGAC